Molecule: ribosomal RNA, 576 nt
Filed under: Candida tropicalis
Lineage: Eukaryota; Fungi; Ascomycota; Pichiomycetes; Serinales; Debaryomycetaceae
Description: eukaryotic LSU rRNA
Rfam family: Eukaryotic large subunit ribosomal RNA
Source: RNAcentral
UGCCUUGUGCGGCGAGUGAGCGGCAAAAGCUCAAAUUUGAAAUCUGGCUCUUUCAGAGUCCGAGUUGUAAUUUGAAGAAGGUAUCUUUGGGUCUGGCUCUUGUCUAUGUUUCUUGGAACAGAACGUCACAGAGGGUGAGAAUCCCGUGCGAUGAGAUGAUCCAGGCCUAUGUAAAGUUCCUUCGAAGAGUCGAGUUGUUUGGGAAUGCAGCUCUAAGUGGGUGGUAAAUUCCAUCUAAAGCUAAAUAUUGGCGAGAGACCGAUAGCGAACAAGUACAGUGAUGGAAAGAUGAAAAGAACUUUGAAAAGAGAGUGAAAAAGUACGUGAAAUUGUUGAAAGGGAAGGGCUUGAGAUCAGACUUGGUAUUUUGUAUGUUACUUCUUCGGGGGUGGCCUCUACAGUUUAUCGGGCCAGCAUCAGUUUGGGCGGUAGGAGAAUUGCGUUGGAAUGUGGCACGGCUUCGGUUGUGUGUUAUAGCCUUCGUCGAUACUGCCAGCCUAGACUGAGGACUGCGGUUUAUACCUAGGAUGUUGGCAUAAUGAUCUUAAGUCGCCCGUCUUGAACCACGGAACCCAA